Molecule: ribosomal RNA, 164 nt
Filed under: Dendrobium williamsonii
Lineage: Eukaryota; Viridiplantae; Streptophyta; Magnoliopsida; Asparagales; Orchidaceae
Also listed under: 3 other names
Description: 5.8S ribosomal RNA
Rfam family: 5.8S ribosomal RNA
About the family: 5.8S ribosomal RNA (5.8S rRNA) is a component of the large subunit of the eukaryotic ribosome. It is transcribed by RNA polymerase I as part of the 45S precursor that also contains 18S and 28S rRNA.
Source: RNAcentral
GACACGACUCUCGGCAAUGGAUAUCUCGGCUCUCGCAUCGAUGAAGAGCGCAGCGAAAUGCGAUACGUGGUGCGAAUUGCAGAAUCCCGCGAACCAUCGAGUCUUUGAACGCAAGUUGCGCCUGAGGCCAACCGGCCAAGGGCACGUCUGCCUGGGCGUCAAGC